RNAcentral lists this long non-coding RNA (251 nucleotides) under Dermacentor andersoni. Its description in RNAcentral is "uncharacterized LOC126543910". Lineage: Eukaryota; Metazoa; Arthropoda; Arachnida; Ixodida; Ixodidae. The record is from RNAcentral.
GCGAGAAAAUAUUCCCACCCUGUUUCAAUAACAAGAAAAUACAUCCGAAGGCAGGUAUAAAAAUGCGCAACAAGCAUAACAUGCAUGCGCUAGAAGUUUCUGUUUUGCAUAUACGCGCAUGACGUGCUGCGUAAGCUUGAUUGACUACUGACACUGCAGCUAACCCACGCCCCUCGCGCGUGAAUCGUUGGGUAUCAAUCGGUGGGUAUCUUGCUUAGACGCUGUGUUCAGUGCGCGUAUAAACCUUUGUU